CCUGUUUGCAGGAUGGAAAAUUUGUCCUACUCGAGUAAACAUGGCAUGAGAUGCAGUUUGGAAUAGCUAUUUGAUCAUCAGUAUAAUGUGGGGCUACUUCUGUUCAACAAAAAGGAGUGGAACCUGAAGUUUGAAGAGAUAGGUCAAGCAUUAUUAGAAGUGCGACAGCUUAUCCAACAAGAACAAUCAGCACACCUGAUUGCAAUGUCUAAAGCUAAGAAGAAAGAGGAAAAUCUGAGGAAAGCUUUGGCUUUUGAAAGGCAGUGUGUGGAAAAUCUUGAGAAGGCUCUGCACAAAAUACAUAGUGAGCAGGACCGAAUAAAGCUUGAUUCUGAGAAGAAGUUGUCUCAAGCAAGUGCUUUGACUAUUGGAAUGGAGGAUAGGUCAUUGGAGGUGAAUGAGACACUGCACGAUGUUGAUGCCAAACUUUGUAGGUCAGCAGAAAAAGUUCACAAUUGGAAUUGAAGAUGCAAGAGAUGGAGGCACGCGAAAGUGUACUUUGAAGGGAGCAUUUUCCUUUGAAAACUGAGCAGGAAGCACACGGGGCUGCAUCUUAUAAACAGAGAGAAAAUUUACAAGAGUGGGAUCAAAAGUUGCAGGAAAGGGAAAAAAAAGCUGUGUGAGGAUAGGAGAAUCCUUAACAUGAAGGAGGG
This is a long non-coding RNA of Eucalyptus grandis, 653 nucleotides long. RefSeq lists it as uncharacterized. Lineage: Eukaryota; Viridiplantae; Streptophyta; Magnoliopsida; Myrtales; Myrtaceae. The record is from RefSeq and is a predicted model, not a curated record. The transcript is spliced from 4 exons.